RNAcentral lists this unclassified non-coding RNA (285 nucleotides) under plant metagenome. RNAcentral's name for it is "partial contains small subunit ribosomal RNA, internal transcribed spacer 1, and 5.8S ribosomal RNA". The stretch from base 1 to 54 matches the Rfam family "Eukaryotic small subunit ribosomal RNA", at positions 1778 to 1831 of the family's 1831-position model. The record is from RNAcentral.
GGAAGUAAAAGUCGUAACAAGAUUUCCGUAGGUGAACCUGCGGAAGGAUCAUUAUUGUAUAACCGAGGUGCGAGGGCUGUCGCUGACCCGAAAGGUCGUGCACGCCCGAGUGCCCUCACACACAUCCAUCUCACCCCUAUGUGCACCACCGCGUGGGUCCCCCUUUGGCUUGUUCGGAGGGGGGCUUACGAUUUCACACAAACUUUGUAUGCAGUGUAGAAUGUAUUUUUUGUUUUUGCGAUCACGCAAUCAAUACAACUUUCAACAACGGAUCUCUUGGCUCUC